GGUCAAGUGAAGAAGCGCAUACGGUGGAUGCCUUGGCAGUCAGAGGCGAUGAAAGACGUGGUAGCCUGCGAAAAGCUUCGGGGAGUCGGCAAACAGACUGUGAUCCGGAGAUGUCUGAAUGGGGGAACCCAGCCAUCAUAAGAUGGUUAUCUUACACUGAAUACAUAGGUGUAAGAGGCGAACCAGGGGAACUGAAACAUCUAAGUACCCUGAGGAAAAGAAAUCAACCGAGAUUCCCUUAGUAGUGGCGAGCGAACGGGGACCAGCCCUUAAGUUGUAUUGAGAUUAGCGGAACGCUCUGGAAAGUGCGGCCAUAGUGGGUGAUAGCCCUGUACGCGAAAAUCCCUUUGCAAUGAAAUCGAGUAGGACGGGGCACGAGAAACCUUGUCUGAAUAUGGGGGGACCAUCCUCCAAGGCUAAAUACUACUGACUGACCGAUAGUGAACCAGUACCGUGAGGGAAAGGCGAAAAGAACCGCGGAGAGCGGAGUGAAAUAGAUCCUGAAACCGUAUGCGUACAAGCAGUGGGAGCCCACGUUGUUGGGUGACUGCGUACCUUUUGUAUAAUGGGUCAGCGACUUAUUUUCAGUGGCGAGCUUAACCGAAUAGGGGAGGCGUAGCGAAAGCGAGUCUUAAUAGGGCGUCUAGUCGCUGGGAAUAGACCCGAAACCGGGCGAUCUAUCCAUGGGCAGGUUGAAGGUUGGGUAACACUAACUGGAGGACCGAACCGACUACCGUUGAAAAGUUAGCGGAUGACCUGUGGAUCGGAGUGAAAGGCUAAUCAAGCUCGGAGAUAGCUGGUUCUCCUCGAAAGCUAUUUAGGUAGCGCCUCAUGUAUCACUGUAGGGGGUAGAGCACUGUUUCGGCUAGGGGGUCAUCCCGACUUACCAAACCGAUGCAAACUCCGAAUACCUACAAGUGCCGAGCAUGGGAGACACACGGCGGGUGCUAACGUCCGUCGUGAAAAGGGAAACAACCCAGACCGUCAGCUAAGGUCCCAAAGUCAUGGUUAAGUGGGAAACGAUGUGGGAAGGCUUAGACAGCUAGGAGGUUGGCUUAGAAGCAGCCACCCUUUAAAGAAAGCGUAAUAGCUCACUAGUCGAGUCGGCCUGCGCGGAAGAUGUAACGGGGCUCAAACCAUGCACCGAAGCUACGGGUAUCACCUUUGGUGAUGCGGUAGAGGAGCGUUCUGUAAGCCUGUGAAGGUGAGUUGAGAAGCUUGCUGGAGGUAUCAGAAGUGCGAAUGCUGACAUGAGUAACGACAAUGGGUGUGAAAAACACCCACGCCGAAAGACCAAGGUUUCCUGCGCAACGUUAAUCGACGCAGGGUUAGUCGGUCCCUAAGGCGAGGCUGAAAAGCGUAGUCGAUGGAAAACAGGUUAAUAUUCCUGUACUUCUGGUUAUUGCGAUGGAGGGACGGAGAAGGCUAGGCCAGCCUGGCGUUGGUAGUCCAGGUUUAAGGUGGUAGGCUGAGAUCUUAGGUAAAUCCGGGAUCUUAAGGCCGAGAGCUGAUGACGAGUGUUCUUUUAGAACAUGAAGUGGUUGAUGCCAUGCUUCCAAGAAAAGCUUCUAAGCUUCAGGUAACCAGGAACCGUACCCCAAACCGACACAGGUGGUUGGGUAGAGAAUACCAAGGCGCUUGAGAGAACUCGGGUGAAGGAACUAGGCAAAAUGGCACCGUAACUUCGGGAGAAGGUGCGCCGGUGAGGGUGAAGCAUUUACUGCGUAAGCCCACGCCGGUCGAAGAUACCAGGCCGCUGCGACUGUUUAUUAAAAACACAGCACUCUGCAAACACGAAAGUGGACGUAUAGGGUGUGACGCCUGCCCGGUGCCGGAAGGUUAAUUGAUGGGGUUAGCGCAAGCGAAGCUCUUGAUCGAAGCCCCGGUAAACGGCGGCCGUAACUAUAACGGUCCUAAGGUAGCGAAAUUCCUUGUCGGGUAAGUUCCGACCUGCACGAAUGGCGUAACGAUGGCGGCGCUGUCUCCACCCGAGACUCAGUGAAAUUGAAAUCGCUGUGAAGAUGCAGUGUAUCCGCGGCUAGACGGAAAGACCCCGUGAACCUUUACUAUAGCUUUGCACUGGACUUUGAAUUUGCUUGUGUAGGAUAGGUGGGAGGCUUUGAAGCGUGGACGCCAGUCUGCGUGGAGCCAACCUUGAAAUACCACCCUGGCAACUUUGAGGUUCUAACUCAGGUCCGUUAUCCGGAUCGAGGACAGUGUAUGGUGGGUAGUUUGACUGGGGCGGUCUCCUCCUAAAGAGUAACGGAGGAGUACGAAGGUGCGCUCAGACCGGUCGGAAAUCGGUCGUAGAGUAUAAAGGCAAAAGCGCGCUUGACUGCGAGACAGACACGUCGAGCAGGUACGAAAGUAGGUCUUAGUGAUCCGGUGGUUCUGUAUGGAAGGGCCAUCGCUCAACGGAUAAAAGGUACUCCGGGGAUAACAGGCUGAUACCGCCCAAGAGUUCAUAUCGACGGCGGUGUUUGGCACCUCGAUGUCGGCUCAUCACAUCCUGGGGCUGAAGCCGGUCCCAAGGGUAUGGCUGUUCGCCAUUUAAAGUGGUACGCGAGCUGGGUUUAGAACGUCGUGAGACAGUUCGGUCCCUAUCUGCCGUGGACGUUUGAGAUUUGAGAGGGGCUGCUCCUAGUACGAGAGGACCGGAGUGGACGAACCUCUGGUGUUCCGGUUGUCACGCCAGUGGCAUUGCCGGGUAGCUAUGUUCGGAAAAGAUAACCGCUGAAAGCAUCUAAGCGGGAAACUUGCCUCAAGAUGAGAUCUCACUGGAACCUUGAGUUCCCUGAAGGGCCGUCGAAGACUACGACGUUGAUAGGUUGGGUGUGUAAGCGCUGUGAGGCGUUGAGCUAACCAAUACUAAUUGCCCGUGAGGCUUGACCAU
Molecule: ribosomal RNA, 2893 nt
Filed under: Pseudomonas syringae pv. antirrhini str. 126
Lineage: Bacteria; Pseudomonadati; Pseudomonadota; Gammaproteobacteria; Pseudomonadales; Pseudomonadaceae
Description: 23S ribosomal RNA
Rfam family: Bacterial large subunit ribosomal RNA
Source: RNAcentral